This 236-nucleotide unclassified non-coding RNA is filed under the name fungal sp. Its description in RNAcentral is "partial internal transcribed spacer region". The stretch from base 1 to 46 matches the Rfam family "Eukaryotic small subunit ribosomal RNA", at positions 1786 to 1831 of the family's 1831-position model. The record is from RNAcentral. Lineage: Eukaryota; Fungi.
AAGUCGUAACAAGGUCUCCGUUGGUGAACCAGCGGAGGGAUCAUUACCGAGUUUAACUCGCCAACCCCCUGUGAACAUACCUCAGUUGCUUCGGCGGACCCGCCCCGGCGCCCUCGGGCCCGGACCAGGCGCCAGCCGGAGGACCCCAAACCACUGAAUUACCAUGUGUAUCUUCUGAGAAAAAGGCGAAAGCCGAAAAUGAAUUAAAACUUUCAACAACGGAUCUCUUGGUUCUG